GUGGGGAAUAUUGGACAAUGGGCGAAAGCCUGAUCCAGCCAUACCGCGUGGGUGAAGAAGGCCUUCGGGUUGUAAAGCCCUUUUGUUGGGAAAGAAAUCCUGUCGGUUAAUACCUGGCGGGGAUGACGGUACCCAAAGAAUAAGCACCGGCUAACUUCGUGCCAGCAGCCGCGGUAAUACGAAGGGUGCAAGCGUUACUCGGAAUUACUGGGCGUAAAGCGUGCGUAGGUGGUGGUUUAAGUCCGUUGUGAAAGCCCUGGGCUCAACCUGGGAAUUGCAGUGGAUACUGGAUCACUAGAGUGUGGUAGAGGGAUGCGGAAUUUCUGGUGUAGCAGUGAAAUGCGUAGAGAUCAGAAGGAACAUCCGUGGCGAAGGCGGCAUCCUGGGCCAACACUGACACUGAGGCACGAAAGCGUGGGGAGCAAACAGGAUUAGAAACCCUUGUAGUCC
Molecule: ribosomal RNA, 450 nt
Filed under: uncultured bacterium
Lineage: Bacteria
Description: partial 16S ribosomal RNA
Rfam family: Bacterial small subunit ribosomal RNA
Source: RNAcentral